CAGGGCUAAAUGUGGCCAACUGGACCACGGCUAAACCUGGGAUUAGGAUGUGCACAGGGCAUCAGAAGCAGAGGGCUACUGAGUGUGAUUUUUGUACAAUCCCUAAAGAGUUCAUCAGUUGAGUGAGAGAGGGCAUCAGUGGAAUCUAAGUGCAGGCAUUUGAGGCAAAUAUGGGUCACUAAUAUUUUUUAAUCUAGUACCAUAUCUAUCAGGGAGUUUUAGAGAGAGUUACAGAAAAUAUUCUCUCCAGAGGCAGAAAAGAAGACAAAUGGUUUACAUUAUUCAAAGAAAAAAAACCCAACUCAUCCUGCCCACUAUAAGAUCUCUAAAUAUACCUGCCUUACCAGCAGAGCCCAUCUUGGAGGAUGGAUCAAAUUUCUAGCAUCAAUAAUUCUGCAGAGCAGAUAAUCCUUCAGGAGAGGCAGGAUCUGUGCCUGAUGCACAGGACCCUUUCCUCCUUUAUGGAUUCAUCCCUGGCAUAGGUAUGGCAGUGGGGACAGGCCAGGGGCAGCCCUGACUGCUGCUCUGUCACUGCCUGGGCAGGCUGUGCAUUGCCAGGCAUCCCUCGAUGAUGUUUUUGUAACUCCACAACUCAGGGAAUUCAAUACAGGACUUUCAGGCUCAGCCUGGCAAAACCCAGAAGGAACACCACACUGGGCUUUCUGCGGUUUUCAUGGAACUUUGGCAGCAUUUGCCAUCCACCCUGGUGCAAGGUGAAGGCUUUCUUGGUGUUUCAUGUUUUGAAAAAAAAUGAGGGAACUGUUUUUUGGCUUUUUAGUGGCUGUUUGUUGUUUUUAAUUUGAGAAUGCAGACUCCAAGAUGAAAGUAGCAGAUAAAGGAUUAUAAAUAAGUGCCCUUCAUACUUGCAAUUAAAAUACCAGUAAGAGUGAGUGCUAGCAGGGGCGGGUUUUCUGACAGGGAUAAUCACACUGGCUGUUAAUCUUUCUGCCCCCAAACCAAAUAUCCCCUGCCUCAGUAACUGCAGUUUUGCUGCCUACCCAGCCAAAUACAUAUCCAGCACCUGUUGCAUUAAGAACAUUUAAUAUGUUGAACCUUUCCAAAUCUACCUGCAUAUUUCCCAUUUCCAGAAGGAACUAAAUCUUCACAUCAGAGAGAAGAAAAUGUUCCUUCAGAGGUAAACUGCAGCUUCUGUCCCUACCCGUACAAGGUGGGAAAAGGCACAGCCUUUACUUAUGUUUGAUGGAGCUGCAUAAUGCAUUUUGUGGUGUGAAAAGUUUCAAACCUUUCAGACCAUUUUGUAUUUAUGAUGCAGGUCUUUGCUGUACCAAAAAAAGGCAUCUGAGGUGAUGUAAAAUAAUGCCUUUCUUGUUAGACUGCAGCAGAAGCCUUCCCUACUCACUCUCUGCAGCAAUUUACUUUUAGUUUGCCAUUAGGAUAAUUUUUUUUUUUCCUCAGAAUGGAGCCCAGGAAAUUUUUCAAGGUGACACAGGAUGAUGUUACCAAAGAAAAAUUUUGUCACAUGUUUUGUAAAGGACAAUUUCUUUUGCAGCCUGAAAUACCACUUGCUUCUUGUGACAGUGUUAGUAAAUCCUGGACUGAAGAUCUCUGAAGUUAUCCUUUAACUUUUUUAGAGGACUGGGUCUCAGCUGAAACCCAACCAUUGAAAUAGCAAAUAAUUAAAACCAACCAAACAAAACCUCCUAGCUUUUGAGAUUGGUUGUUACUGUUAAUAUUUUAUUAUAGGGGGAAAACACCAUCGGUGUUUGGGAGCCAAUGGUCAAGAGAAAAAUAUUUGAAAGUAAUUAAUUUAAAAAGACUCACAGGCUCUGUAUAAGUCAGAAUUAUUGCACAGGUGUGUUUAACAGAUCCAAAUUUUACUACUCUGGCUGCAAGCACUGAAUCAAAUCCAUUUCUACCUUAAAUUGCCCCUAUUUCAGAAAAGCAAUUCAUCCCACACUCAGUAAGGGCUAAUAUUGUAAUGUAAAUAAAAGUACCCAGAGGGAGAGGAGAUAACAGAACUGGUUCCCACAGACUCCACCAGUGACACACUCAGGAAGAGCCCCAGGAAAAGGCCAGGCAGAGAGCUGCUGGCAAGAUGAGCAGCAUGAUCUCCUGCUUUACCUCUGUGAGCAGAGCAUCUUGGAGAACAAUUCUUAGUAAAUAAUUUGCUUUAUGGGUGAGGAGAGAAGCCUGGGCCUGGAAAUCUCCGGGAGGUUUCCCUCCUCCUCCUCAGCUACAGCACAAAGCUCAGAAAGUUCAUACCCACCUAAUUCCUGUGAGAAAGCACGAUCAUUUCAUGAAAACACUGCUGCAAGGACUUCUACAGGUACACACAGUUAUUUUUGUUCCUUAGAAUACUGUAACUAUUAACAAACCAAUUAUUUAAACUAACAGAGUACUUGGUUUUCUGGUGCUGUUUAUUUUAUUGUAUUCAAACAGGAAAAUGACAUUUCAAGGAUCAACACUUUAUUAUAAACUAAUACCUUUCCAAGUAACUGAGGUUCUCCUGUAAUUCCCAACCUGGCUCUCACUCUGACUGAAAGGCUGAGUUAAUUUCUCAGUGGAAAAGCAGUUGAGAGAGGGAUAGGAGAAAAAGAAAGAAACCUGAGAUAAGGCUUUAUAAACUUGAAUUCUCUUCUAAUUUGGUAAAGGCAGAUUGAGUGACAUAAUAUGAAUUUGGACAUUUCUGAAGAAAUUGUUUUGUUGAAAUCUUUGUGGAAAAGUUUUAUUUUAUGAUAGCUUACGGGGAGAGGAAGACCCAGCAUUCCAGCAGCCACACAGAGCCUGGGAGCCUCACUUCCCACGAGUCAGCAUCACCAGGGCCAGGAGAUUAAAUUUAGAAUUUAGAGUUCUGCCCUCAACAUACAGGGUCAGAUUUAAGCCCUUAGUAAAUGUGAACCUUUUCACACACUAUUAUUGAAAAAGGUCUUCUUCAAAAAUUAUCUGGAAAAAAUUAGUGCCUGUCCUACACCUUCUGGGGACAUAAUGAAAGGCUUUCAGAGAGCUUCACUUGUCUGGCAGAAUCUUUCUGAGAAACUGAAAUGUUUGCAUUCUCCGUUGAAUUGGGCCCAUGAUAGAAGACUGCUGUGAGUUAUUUUUUUGCUAUGAGGUUUUUUUGUUGUUGUUGUUGUUUUUUGUUUGUUUGUUUGUUUUUUGUUUGUUUUUUGGGGGUUUUUUUUGGUAGCUCUAUUUAUUGAUUUUAUAACUCAUCUGAAGUAAAAGGGUAAAGGGUAGAGUUCUGUGUCCCAGGAAAAUGCACUAUGAGUGACUUUCAAAUGCAGCUGAACUAAACUAUCACCAGUGUAAUAUAUGUCAGACCAUAACAAAUAUACAAUAUGAUAAACCACUGAUCAUAACUGUACAUUGCCACGUGUAAAUCACCUUCUGCAAAAUGCUCCUAUUCACAUUUUUCUUUCACCUAAUUUUCUUAAGGAUACCUUUAUGUACAACACUACUGUAAAUUACUUUUCCAGUUCAGCUUUUUAAUUACUUAGAAUAGAAAUCAGAUCUUAUUUCUAAAACAAGUCUUAUUUACAAUUGCUAACUGGGAAAACAAGAGACCAAAUUUGAUCUUUUAAUGCUAUCAGCUCAAUUUUCUGCAAUCUAAGUUAAAAAACCUGUACACUUUCAAACUGAACUGCUGCAGAAAUUCUCUGCCAAAUGCAGGAUGCUGCAGAGCAAGGUUUUGCAGCCUUCUGUCAGGUUUCUGGGAGCUGGAGCACAGUCCCUGCAGCUCCCAUGCAGCCUGGAGUGUGCUGCUUGCUGCUGGGCAGCAGCUGUACCAAGAGUGCUGUUAUAUAGAAGAUAGGUAGAGAGAUAAAUAGAGAGAGAAAGAGAAAAUGAAAAGGCUUUUUUCACUGACACACCUUAGAGCAGACCCUGAGCAGCUCUAAGUUAUGGUGUGGUGUAGCAACGACAGCACAGUCAUGCACCAGUCAGGCUGAAUUUCUACCAGUUUGAUCAAAAGUUGUAGAAGAUUUCUGUUGCACUGCACACAAGCCUCUGAUCAGCCUGCCUUGGCAGCCCCCUGGCCCUGCAGGCUCGUUUACCCCCAGAUUCAGUUUGUAGUUGGUGCACACUCCUCUCUCCAUCACAGCACUCCUGGCACCACAUCACACACGUGAAACAUGCUCACAGCUAAACUAUUGUGACUUUAACACACUUUCCCCUGUUACAACAACUUCAAUCAACAAUCAAGGUUUCUUUGUAACUUUUGUUGUUUGCAUUAUGUGGCAUUUUAAUUCAUUGUAUACUAAUUCCAGUUCUGCAUUAGUUGUAUGUUUCUGCACAGUAAUUAACUAAUCACUAUGUCACUCCCUCUCUAUUAUGAAUAACCUCAUUAAUUCCAGUCUGAAAGCUUGGUGCCUGCUGCCAUUGCUAUCAAUUUUCUUGGUUCUUUCUGCUGCUUCUUGACUUAUAAUCAAAUAUGAAACUCAUGUAUUUUUAAAUACUCUGUCUUCUGUUUCUCCCACUGAAAAAUUCAUUGUGCUAUCAAGCCCUUUAAAAUAAUGUUUAUUCAUUAUGCAUUUCUUUGCUAGGCAAUCAAGAGCUGUUACAAUAAAGUGUGUGACUUGCUCUCUCCAUGGCAGCGCUUCUGCUGUGUCAACAUCUCCAUUUUAAUCCUAAGUUUACUAGAAAUUAGAAUUUAGAUCUAAAAUUUAGCUGCAAGGUUAAAGGCACCACCAGACAUCUUCACAUGGGAGGAAAUGUCUUGAUUAUUACAAUUAAUCAUUUGGGCAUUUUUAGGUUAUAUUUGUGGGUAGGAA
Molecule: long non-coding RNA, 4727 nt
Organism: Passer domesticus (house sparrow)
Lineage: Eukaryota; Metazoa; Chordata; Aves; Passeriformes; Passeridae
Exons: 3
Source: RefSeq, a predicted model, not a curated record